This 460-nucleotide ribosomal RNA is filed under the name uncultured bacterium. RNAcentral describes it as "partial 16S ribosomal RNA". It matches the Rfam family "Bacterial small subunit ribosomal RNA", at positions 28 to 507 of the family's 1533-position model. The record is from RNAcentral.
GACGAACGCUGGCGGCGUGCUUAACACAUGCAAGUCGAGCGGUAAGGCCUCUUCGGGGGUACACGAGCGGCGAACGGGUGAGUAACACGUGGGUGACCUGCCCUCAGCUCUGGGAUAAGCCUGGGAAACUGGGUCUAAUACCGGAUAUGACCUUUCCUCGCAUGGGGUUUGGUGGAAAGUUUUUUCGGCUGGGGAUGGGCCCGCGGCCUAUCAGCUUGUUGGUGGGGUGAUGGCCUACCAAGGCGACGACGGGUAGCCGGCCUGAGAGGGCGACCGGCCACACUGGGACUGAGGCACGGCCCAGACUCCUACGGGAGGCAGCAGUGGGGAAUAUUGCGCAAUGGGCGGAAGCCGGACGCAGCGACGCCGCGUGGGGGAUGACGGCCUUCGGGUUGUAAACCUCUUUCGACCCCGACGAAUUUGGACAGUAGGGGUAGAAGAAGCACCGGCCAACUACGUG